RNAcentral lists this ribosomal RNA (440 nucleotides) under uncultured bacterium. Its description in RNAcentral is "partial 16S ribosomal RNA". It matches the Rfam family "Bacterial small subunit ribosomal RNA", at positions 338 to 795 of the family's 1533-position model. The record is from RNAcentral.
CCUACGGGUGGCAGCAGUGGGGAAUAUUGCACAAUGGGGGGAACCCUGAUGCAGCGGCGCUGCGUGGGUGAGGAAGUACUUCGGUAUGUAAAGCCCUAUCAGCAGGGAAGAAAAUGACGGUACCUGACUAAGAAGCCCCGGCUAACUACGUGCCAGCAGCCGCGGUAAUACGUAGGGGGCAAGCGUUAUCCGGAUUUACUGGGUGUAAAGGGAGCGUAGACGGCGUGCCAAGUCUGAUGUGAAAGGCCGGGGCUCAACCCCGGGACUGCAUUGGAAACUGGCAUGCUGGAGUGCCGGAGGGGCAGGCGGAAUUCCUGGUGUAGCGGUGAAAUGCGUAGAUAUCAGGAGGAACACCGGCGGCGAAGGCGGCCUGCUGGACCGCGACUGACGUUGAGGCUCGAAAGCGUGGGGAGCGAACAGGAUUAGAUACCCGUGUAGUC